GACAACGUGCCAGAGUGGUUAAUGGGUAUGACUCGAACGACCACCUCUACUAGAUAUCAUAUGCCUUCGGGCGCGCAGGUUCGAAUCCUGCCGUUGUCG
RNAcentral lists this transfer RNA (99 nucleotides) under Paraphoma chrysanthemicola. RNAcentral's name for it is "tRNA-Ser". It matches the Rfam family "tRNA". Rfam says of the family: Transfer RNA (tRNA) molecules are approximately 80 nucleotides in length. The record is from RNAcentral. Lineage: Eukaryota; Fungi; Ascomycota; Dothideomycetes; Pleosporales; Phaeosphaeriaceae.